CAUCUGUUCUCUGCUGAACAUCCUAAUGUGGUCCAGAAUCUUUUAAGCUUUCUUGUUCCCCUGCAGCCACUGGAGCAAAAGACCUCAGUGCUCUUCUGAACAGCUCAAUCAUAAGAAGGCUUAGGCAGUAUGGAAAGGAAAACGGAUCUGUUGGAGGUCAGCACUAACAGAGACUAUAUUUGAAAUUGUGUCCUCAGUCCUGGAAAGAAAUUCAACAAUUUUUUUUUCCAUAAAAAUAAGAGCGCUAGCUCAACAGCACUGACUGCCUCAGUAGGUCAAGAAAAGAGCAGAACCGUCUGUCACAAUAAUUCCCACACAAACAGUGAGGAGCCAGAACUCUUCCUGUUUCCAGUCCUAUUCAAGGUGGAAAACACUCCUAACUGGGAAGCUGAUGUGAACAGACAUUUCACAAGACUAUACAAGGGGAAAGAGCUGUAGCAGGAAUUCUUUGCCUUGCACAAAAGUUUAUUACAGAAGGAAAAGGCUUACAAUGAAUAAAAAUUUAAGAAAUAAGGGCAUAAACAUACAUUAGAUUAAAGGACUUACUGCUGUUCUGAAGUGAAACUUCAGUACCCUGGGGAAGGAAAAAACUUUGCUUAGGAAUUCAGGAUAGACAGGACUGUGAAGGACCUGCAGAUUAGAAGGUGAUCUCAGGAUAAUGAACAAUGAAUGCAUGUGCAUGCUGGCUAGAUGGACUUGAUCAAGAUGUUAUAAACUUAAUUGUCAAGGAAGUGUAAAAGUGAUGAAAACACACUUCUGAAGAUGGCUCACCAGGAUUUCUGACCUGCACAUUACUGACAUUAGUUGGAACAAAUAGAAGGCUAAGUCCACAUAUGCAUCAAAACAAGCCCAGUGAUUUACAAGAGGAAAGUAAAUUCUGGUUUAAUUUAAGUGGCCAUCAAGCAGUUUCAAGACAGAAUUCACUUCAUGAAUCAUCUGAGAGGAUGUUUGACAUCAGGAGAUCUCACUGCUCUUCAGAGACUGCAGCUGCUUUUGUUGGGACAAAAUCCUGCAGAUUCAUGUGCAGGGAUCCUACAGAUCUCACCUAAAAGAGUGAAAUCUCCAAAGUAAGGAGAACACUUACAGCAUAUUUUGUCAUAUUUAAAGAAGAACCCCUCAGUCCUUGAGUGCAGCUCUCCCAGGUUUUAAGCAAGUAUAAAGGAUACAUCCCGGUGCGUCUGCAUGGUCUGCACUCUUGUGAUAAACUUAUGGCAGAAGAAAAGGUGUCAACAUGUGCAUUUCUUCAAAGACCAGUGAACAUCUCUCUGCAUAGAGCAUCACACAGGAAGGGCAAAGCUAUGGACUUACGCUACUUGUGACCAAGGAAGAUCAAGAAUUGUACUUUUACUCUCAGGUAAUUUUAUCUUGGCAUAACUCUAGGGUAGCAAUAACAAGUUGUGUUGUUAUUUUAUUGUCCUAAAACUCAGUCAUCCUCCUCAAAAAUUCACUUGGUGUGAAUUCCACAUGCAGGAAUGCAUUUCCUAUAUAGGUUAUAAAACUAUAGCCCUGGAUCAACAUUUCAAAUGCACAUUUCUUUUGGGAGCACUUGUGCUGUUUGGGGUGUUGUGAAUCUCCCUGUGAGUUGGAAGUCUCAUUGUCUUUGUUCACUUAGGAGAGAUUACUGGCCCUAAGCUGAAUUUAUGAGCACACAAUUUGGCACUAGCUUGCUCUGGCCUUUUAUUUGCACACAUUCACUGUAAAUGCAAUCAGAAACCCAGAUUGCUGAAUUAAGGACAUGGCCAUCAUUUCUGCCAGACUUGAUUGGGCUGUAUUAAAUAAUUAUGC
Long non-coding RNA from Passer domesticus (house sparrow), 1785 nucleotides. RefSeq lists it as uncharacterized. The transcript has 11 exons. Lineage: Eukaryota; Metazoa; Chordata; Aves; Passeriformes; Passeridae. The record is from RefSeq and is a predicted model, not a curated record.